CGAAGGCUCCAAAGGAAGUCACGGCUAACUCUGUGCCAGCAGCCGCGGUAAUACGGAGGUGGCAAGCGUUGUUCGGAAUUAUUGGGCGUAAAGAGCACGUAGGUGGGUUUGUAAGUCAGAUGUGAAAGCCUUCUGUUCAACGGAAGAAUUGCAUCUGAAACUGCAAGUCUUGAGUGUAGGAGGGGAGAAUGGAACUUCUGGUGGAGCGGUGAAAUGCGUAGAUAUCAGAAGGAACGCCGGCGGCGAAAGCGUUUCUCUGGCCUAUUACUGACACUCAGUGUGCGAAAGCUAGGGGAGCAAACGGGAUUAGAUACCCCGGUAGUCCUAGCCGUAAA
This 335-nucleotide ribosomal RNA is filed under the name uncultured Planctomycetales bacterium. RNAcentral describes it as "bacterial SSU rRNA". It matches the Rfam family "Bacterial small subunit ribosomal RNA", at positions 473 to 806 of the family's 1533-position model. Lineage: Bacteria; Pseudomonadati; Planctomycetota; Planctomycetia; Planctomycetales. The record is from RNAcentral.